AACGAACGCUGGCGGCAGGCUUAACACAUGCAAGUCGAGCGCAUCCUUCGGGGUGAGCGGCAGACGGGUGAGUAACGCGUGGGAACGUACCCUUUCCUACGGAAUAGCUCCGGGAAACUGGAAUUAAUAACGUAUACGCCCUUAGGGGGAAAGAUUUAUCGGGGAAGGAUCGGCCCGCGUUGGAUUAGCUAGUUGGUGGGGUAAGGCCUACCAAGGCGACGAUCCAUAGCUGGUCUGAGAGGAUGAUCAGCCACAUUGGGACUGAGACACGGCCCAAACUCCUACGGGAGGCAGAAGUGGGGAAUAUUGGACAAUGGGCGCAAGCCUGAUCCAGCCAUGCCGCGUGAGUGAUGAAGGCCUUAGGGUUGUAAAGCUCUUUCAGUAGGGAAGAUAAUGACGGUACCUACAGAAAAAGCCCCGGCUAACUUCGUGCCAGCCGCCGCCGUAA
Molecule: ribosomal RNA, 448 nt
Filed under: uncultured bacterium
Lineage: Bacteria
Description: partial 16S ribosomal RNA
Rfam family: Bacterial small subunit ribosomal RNA
Source: RNAcentral